UGCUGAAGAAAUGGGUCCUGGGAGACACCAUCAACAUGACAAAUCACCAUUCCCAUGGUUUUGAUUGCAGUCUUUAACCACAUGCCUGAACAGCUGGGAACCACUGAAGUAUUGGUAGCCGACUGGGCAGCUGGCCAGCCAACCCCGAAAGCCAGGCAUCUAAUGAGAAGAACCACCAUCCUAAUUCCAAAUGUCACAGCACAGAAGUCAUUCUAUAAACUGGAGAAGGAUUUUUGGAGUAUACGCUUGGUGAACAAGUUUUAAUAACAACAAUUGCCAUAAUAACUGACAUUUAUAUAGCACUGUGCAAUUUAGAGAGUACUUUCACAUGUAUCAUCUCAUUGGUUAACAGCCCCGUGAUAUGGGUGUUAUUAUGAGCCCAUUUGAUAGAUACAUAAAACUCAAAAUGAUUAAGAGGCUGACUCAUAACCACACAAGUAGAAGGUGUGGUCAGUGUGAUUGGAAACUCUGGCCUCUGAAUACAGGGCAUUAGCUGGUAUCUUGAGGGUGCUCCAGAGUCUAGGGUGUGAGUUCCCACUGGCCUGAGGGCUCAGUGGCCCCAGUGUCCCUUUUCUGCAGUGCCUUUUUAGCAUGGGUCAACAAUGGAGGAAGAAAGGAAAGAUUUAGGAAGUAGGGGAGGAGUUCCCAACGUGGCUCAGCAGAAACAAAUCUGGCUAGCAUCCAUGAGGUUCGAUCCCUGGCCUCACUCAGUGGGUUAAGGAUCCGGCAUUGCCGUGAGCUGUGGUGUAGGCCAGUGGCUACAGCUCUGAUUUGACCCCUAGCCUGGGAAUUUCUUUCUUUUUUCUUUUUUUUUUUUUUUUCCUUUUUAGGGCUGCACCCGAGGCAUAUGGAGGUUCCCAGGCUAGGGGUCAAAUCAGAGCUACAGCUGCCAGCCACAGUCACAGCAACGUAGGGUCUGAGCCGUGUUUGCGACCUACACCAGAGCUCACGGCAGUGUGGGAUUCUUAACCCACUGAGCAAGGCCAGGGAUCGAACCUGCAUCCUCAUGGAUCCUAGCUGGGUUUGUUAACCACUGAGCCAUGACAGGAACUCCUAGCCUGGGAACUUCUGUAUGCUGUAAGUACGGCCCUAAAAACAAACAAACAAACAAACAAACACAAGAAGUAGGAGAGAAGAAAGAAAUCCUGGUGAAGGAAUACAACGU
RNAcentral lists this long non-coding RNA (1165 nucleotides) under Sus scrofa (pig). RNAcentral's name for it is "lncRNA (ENSSSCG00060002765.1)". Lineage: Eukaryota; Metazoa; Chordata; Mammalia; Artiodactyla; Suidae. The record is from RNAcentral.